Molecule: long non-coding RNA, 2193 nt
Filed under: Brassica napus (rape)
Lineage: Eukaryota; Viridiplantae; Streptophyta; Magnoliopsida; Brassicales; Brassicaceae
Description: long non-coding RNA (BNAP_LNC006539)
Source: RNAcentral
UACCUGAGUGAUGAGGAGGAUAGCCAGCAGGAGGAUAACCAGCAUGACCAGGCGCAGGAGGAUAACCACCAUAACCAGGAGCAGGAGGGUAGGCACCAGGUGGAGGUGGGUAUGCACCCGGAGGAUAACCAGGUGCAGGUGGGUAGGCACCAGGUGGUGGGGGAGGGUAAGCUUGUUGUGGUGGGUAUCCAGCUGGUGGAUAAGCCCCAGGAAUGUAACCACCUUUAUUAAUCAAUAUGUAACCUCCUAUCCAAAAUUCUCGGACCAUUUACAAUUGGUUACGUUUUCCCCUUUUGUCAAUAUUGAGUCCAAUUUUUUUUGUUUUGAACUGAAUUUAGCCCAAACUAUUUUUAUGCUAUUUAAUAAUUUCAACCUUUUAAUUGGUGAAUAUAACACGUUACUUCAUGUAAUUAAUUUAUGCAGUUACAUUAUUGACAUAUGAUUCAAAAAACCAUAAAUAUAAAAAUUAAAUUUGUAAAAAAAUUUAAAACAAAAAAUAUAUCCGCCAGGCCGGUCAGAAUCUAGUUCUCAUUUAAACUAAUGCUUAAAAGACCACACAAAUCGUAUGCAUACAUAUACUCUGUUUCUUUUUCCUAUAACAAAUUAAUCAUCGUGUCUUUGUAUUAAUGGCGAUUUCUCUACAUGACACUUUUUGCAUUCUUGCUAAUUUUAAUUAGAGAUGUUGCUAUGAACAAACUUUACUUGAUUAAACCCAUUUUAAACUCACAUUUAUCCUUUUAAGGGUGUAUUCAAUCGUCCCACAAAAAAAAAAGGUGUAUUCAAUCAAAUAUAACAAUUUUUUUUUUCUCUCUCAAAUCACCCAAAAUCAUCUAGUUAUCAAGAUCAAAUAAUUUUAUGUUUGAUUGAAUACACCCACAAGGUGGGUAAGGAAUUCAGAAACUACCAUGUAGAUCAUCUUGAUCAUAUCAUAUCCAUGCCUUCUAAAACAGGUUAAGCAAUGCCAAAACCCAUAUAUACAAGGGCAUAAUAUAUGAAAUUAUAUUAAAAACAGAAUCAGUAAUAUCAUAAAACCAUAUAUAAUAGCUUCAUAGUACAACAUGUGAUAUCAUAAUCAUUAUUAAAGCCUCAAUUGUCAAACUUGAACCGGCGAGAGAUAAGAUUAAAAGAGGUUUUUAGAUCACUUCCACUUCUUGAACUUACCUCCUCCAAACAUCCCAUGCCUCCCAUGUUUAAACUUGCCUCCGUGAUGCUUGAACUUCCCGUGCUUGAACUUACCAUGACCAUGACCAUAACCAUAGCCAUAGCCAUGACCAUGUCCAAAUCCGUGACCAUAUGCUGCGUGUCCGUAAGGACCGUGAGAGCUAUGAGCUAUGUGGUGAGCUCCGUAGGCAGCUGCAGCACCUGCAAUCAUACCCCCGAUUCCAGCUGCGUGUCCUGAAACAAGUUAAGGCAAAUUACAUUAAUAGAAGAAAUAAACAGAAAGAGGCAAAAAAAAACAAGUUGUCUUUAUGAUGCUCAAAACUCUAAUGAGAUGAUUGCUACAUGAGUACACUUUCAAAGGUACGAUCUUUGGAGAACUUAUGUAACUGAUUUCAAUCUCAUGGAUGCGUUUUUGCAAUCAGAAUACGAACUCUUGCAUACCAAUAACAGUCAAAUGACUAUGGAUUCCUGUUGGCUACCAUAUAAAGUACGGUCAUUUCAAAACAAUAUAUUAUUAGCCCAACUUGUUGCUAAAAUGAAAUGUAACAACCGAGAUGAUAAUAUCGUUUUCACAACUACCAUGUAUAAACAUUAUUUGUUUCAACUUACUUAUGUGACAUGAUAUCUACCACAUAUAUAGACAAAAUUCUACAUUUCAGUUUCUCUCUAAAGUGACAUUUACCACAUUCAUAGCUAAAUUUUUUUUCACAACUAGCAAGAGGAGAUAGGGUACCUGAGUGAUGAGGAGGAUAGCCAGCAGGAGGAUAACCAGCAUGACCAGGCGCAGGAGGAUAACCACCAUAACCAGGAGCAGGAGGGUAGGCACCAGGUGGAGGUGGGUAUGCACCCGGAGGAUAACCAGGUGCAGGUGGGUAGGCACCAGGUGGUGGGGGAGGGUAAGCUUGUUGUGGUGGGUAUCCAGCUGGUGGAUAAGCCCCAGGACCUGGCGGGUAUCCAGCGGGUGGGUACCCAAAAAAACCUUUGUCUUUGUCUUCCUCACCUCCCAUGUUUUCUCUCAAUCAACAAAACAAA